This 52-nucleotide small RNA is filed under the name Magnetovibrio blakemorei. RNAcentral's name for it is "magnetite-containing magnetic vibrio ffh sRNA". It matches the Rfam family "ffh sRNA". Lineage: Bacteria; Pseudomonadati; Pseudomonadota; Alphaproteobacteria; Rhodospirillales; Magnetovibrionaceae. The record is from Rfam by way of RNAcentral.
CUGCACUGAGGGCACCGCCAGUCCGCGAGUUUCGCGCACUGGCGCGAUUUUC